Molecule: transfer RNA, 95 nt
Filed under: Streptomyces rubradiris
Lineage: Bacteria; Bacillati; Actinomycetota; Actinomycetes; Kitasatosporales; Streptomycetaceae
Description: tRNA-Ser
Source: RNAcentral
GCAGCGCCUUGGCGCGGCCGAUGCCGGUGACGGUGGAGCCGUUGUACGUCGGCGAGUUGUAGCUGACGCCGUUGAUCGUCUUCGCGCCGCUGCCC